UCAAACAAAAUACCAAAGCCAACCAAACCCCAUCAACAAUAAACAAACAAACAAAAAUUCACAUAAUGUUCCUUUAUUUUUGUCAUCAAAGAGUUUUCCAUUCCUUCAGCUUUCGUUAAAGAUGAAAGGAAAAAGAAAGGUGCAUAGGGUUGUUUACCAAACAAGUAAAGGCAAGUCUCAUCUGCCCUUAGUGUCAGGCUUUGGAAUGAUUUCAAGUGUCACAAUUUAUCAACACACGAUGGCAGUAGAGGACCAUGAAAUGAUUAGUUGAUGCUGUACAUUAGUGAAACAAAAUCUGCCAAAGGCCUUUUUUUUCUAGAGAUAGUGACAGUCUUUGCUGAUGAAUAUUGGCAGUUCUGAGCCCAGCUCCACAGAGAAGUUGAAAAAAGAAAUAAAAAAAGGGGAAAGUUCACAGUCUUUUCUUGCUGAAAGUGGCUCUAGAUGUUUUCCCAGGUUCAGUUUGUGAUCCCAAACUCCAGGUAAGAAGUGGCAGAUUGGUGCUUUCAUUAAUGAUGACUUUUUGGAAAGCUUUCUGGCUUAUGAUGUGUACUAUAGCAGGUUUUGUAGUCAUUCUUUGUCUCUUGGUCAGGUUGUAGCAUUUUGAGGAUCUUCUGAAAUCAAAGAUUUCUCUAGCAGCCUAUUUAGCUGAUAAUGCUCCCUUAUCUGUGAUGAGUUUUGAGUGAGGUCUCAAAAGUGCUUACUGGACAGCCAUACUAACUAACCUAACACAACUUCUUUCAAACUGCAUUGCCACUUCAUUUUCAUUGCAUCAAGGAAAGUCUAUUAGACAUGUAGCUUGAUCCUCACAAUUAUGAGUUUGAUUUAAUGCCAUUACUUGUCAGCAUUGCCUUGUUGAGCGCUGAUAGCUUCAGCCUUUCUGCAGAACAUGUCUUCAUGGAUUUACUUUCAGGUGAGAUCUUUAGAUCUUUUACUAGACAUUUAACAUCAACUCCCUGUAACUUAAAGUAAUUACAUGGUUGAGAUUCCCAUGGGUCUCCCAAGUUGAGUCUGUGGCUGAAGGAAUAUUUGUACUGGUCAAUGGAUCGUGCUGCUGAGGUAACCCUGUAUGCUUCCCAUCUCCAGAGCCCAGCAGCAGCAAUAGCUGCAUCACUCCAAAAAGCCUAACUUAACAGGAUUUACCAAGAAGAUCUCAAGGGUAAGAUAGCUCUGCUGUUUCAGACACCUUAUGCUCUCAGAGCACUGUUCCCCAGGCCAAGAAAUUUUUUACAAGUUCUUUAUUUCUCCUGUGAUAGUCCUUGCAGGCAUUAUUAAAAAAUUUCAAGCACACAGCUGCUGCCUCAAAGAUAAAAUGUAUGAAAUGUAAUAGCAAUCGUUUCUUUUAAAAUUAACACUGGUUUUGCUUUUGCGAUUCACAAACAGGAGCUUUUCUAAGAAUUGUAUUCCCAGAAGAGGCCAAGGAGCAGAAAUUUGCACCUGAACGGAGAAGAGUAUGUUCACUUCCAUGGCUUUUGCCUACCUGAAGAUGAAGCGCUUGGAGGCUUUCAGGGAGUGGCAAUGGAAUGUGAUCCAAAUUAUUGUCAGUGAUAUAAAGAUGCUGCAGUUCAUCCAGAUUCUAGAGGAAGAUGAAAAAAACAAGGGGAGAUGACAGACAUUUUUGAAAACCUCUGGCAAGUAAAUUGAACUUCUUGGAGGAAUGAGUGUUUCUUGGAGGAAUGAGUGCUGAGAAAUCUGGCAAGCACCCUAGCUACACUGCUCACAGUGGUCUUUCAAAGGUCACAGGGAUCAGGAGAAGUGCCUGAGGACUGGAAGUAAGCUGGUGUCACCCCUAUCUACAAAAAGGUCAAGGAGGAUCUAGAGAAUUACUACCCAGUCAGCUUCACCUCGAUCCCUGAAAAGGUGAUGGAGCACCUCAUUCCAGAGGCCAUCUCCAUCCCCAGGGAUGGCAAGAAGAUCAUCAGGAGUAGCCAGCAUGGAUUCACUAAAGGUAAAUCAUGCUUGACCAAUCUGAUUGCCUUCUAAAAUGAAACAACAGCCAGAGUGGGUGAGGGGAGAACUAUUCUGACUUCAGCAAGGCUUUUGACAUUUUCUCUCACAGUAUACUCUUAGCAAACUCAGGAAGUGUGGACUGGAAGAGUGGAGAGUGAGGUGGAUUUAGAACUGACUGAACGGCAGAUCCCAGAAGGACAUAAUCAAUGGCAGUCUAGUGGGAGGUCUGUCACUAAUUCUGUCCCUCAAGGUUCAGUGCUGGGCCAGUAUUGUUUAACAUGUUCAGCAAUGACUUGGGUGGAGGGACAGAUGCCUCCUUAGAAAGCUGACUGAUGACAUAAAGCUGGGAGGAGUGGCCAAUAUCCCAGAGGGCUACGCAGCCCUCUAGAAUGAUCCCAACAAGCUGGAGAGAUGGGUUGAGAAGAACCAUCUGAAAUUCAACGAAGGCAAAUGCAGAGUCCUGCACCUGGUAAAUAACAACCCCACACAGCAGUACAGGCUGGGGGCUGAUCUGCUGGAAAGCAACUAUGCAGAGAACAACUUGGGUCCUGGUGGACAGCAAGCUGUCCAUGAGCCAGCAGUGCCCUUGUGGCCAAGAAGGCCAGUGGAGUCCUGAGGUGCAUUAGGAAGAGUAUUGCCAGCAGGUCAAGGGAGGAGAUCCUGCCCCCUGCUCAG
This is a non-coding RNA of Cyanistes caeruleus (blue tit), 2622 nucleotides long. Lineage: Eukaryota; Metazoa; Chordata; Aves; Passeriformes; Paridae. The record is from RefSeq and is a predicted model, not a curated record.